AGGGUUUGAUCCUGGCUCAGGAUGAACGCUGGUGGUGUGUUUAAGGCAUGCAAGUCAUGGGGCUCCUUCGGGAGUAACCGGCGAACGGGUUAGUAACACUUGGGUAAUCUACCCAAUUCAUGGAGAUAACUUCGAGAAAUCGAAGCUAAUAUUCAAUAGUCUGACAAAACUUAUGUUUUGUUAGUAAAGGUUUUCCGGAAUUGGAUGAGCCUGAGGCUUAUCAGCUCGUUGGUAAGGUAAAAGCUUACCAAGGCAAUGACGGGUCGGGGGUGUGAGAGCACGAUCCCCAACAGUGGCAUUGAGACACGGGCCUCACUCCUACGGGAGGCAGCAGUCGAGAAUCUUCGGCAAUGGGCGAAAGCCUGACCGAGCGACACCACGUGACUGAAGACGUCCUACGGGAUGUAAAGGUCUUUUCAUUGGGAAGAAUCUUCGGAUGACGGUACCAAUGGAAUAAGAGGAUUCUAACUCCGUGCCAGCAGAAGCGGUAAUACGGAGUCCUCAAGCGUUAUCCGGAUUUAUUGGGCGUAUAGGGUCCGCAGGCGGUUUAACAAGUUUUCAGUUAAAUUCCAAGAGCUCAACUUUUGGGCAACUGAGAAAACUGUUAAACUAGAGGCUACCAGAGGCCGGUAGAACUCACGGUGGAGGAGUGGAAUCCGUUGAUCUCGUGAGGAAUGCCGAAAGCGAAAGCAGCCGGCUAGGGUAAGCCUGACGCUCAGGGACGAAAGCGUGGGUAGCGAAGAGGAUUAGAGACCCUCGUAGUCCACGCCGUUAACGAUGGAUACUGGCUAUUGGAAGUGUCGACCCUUUCAGUGGCGAAGCUAACGCGUUAAGUAUCCCGCCUGGGUAGUACGGCCGCAAGGCUAAAACUCAAAGGAAUAGACGGGGACCUACACAAGCGGUGGAUCAUGUGGCUUAAUUCGACGCUAAGCGAAGGACCUUACCAGGGAUUGACAUACUAGUGAAGUCUGGUGAAAACCGGACGUGCCUUCGGGAGCACUAGUACAGGUGCUGCAUGGCUGUCGUCAGUUCGUGUUUUGAAAUGUGCCGUUAAGUCGGAGAACGAACGCAACCCCUGUCCUAUGUUUCAAGUGUCAUAGGAGACUGCCCCGAACAACGGGGAGGAAGGUGGGGAUGACGCCAAGUCAGCAUGGCCCUUUGAUACCCUGGGCUGCACACAUGGUACAAUGGGACCUUACAAUGCGCAGCGACAUCGCGAGAUGAAGCUAAUCGCUAAAAGGUUUCUAAGUUCGGAUUGGAGUCUGCAACUCGACUCUAUGAAGGCGGAAUCGCUAGUAAUCGCCGGUCAGCCACACGGCGGUGAAUUUGUUCCUAGGUCUUGUACUCACUGCCCGUCAAGUCAGAAAAGUUGGUAACACCCGAAGCUCUCCCGGACGGGAGAACAGAGGUGGGACCAAUGAUUAGGACUAAGUCGUAACAAGGUAGCCG
RNAcentral lists this ribosomal RNA (1449 nucleotides) under uncultured marine bacterium. Its description in RNAcentral is "bacterial SSU rRNA". It matches the Rfam family "Bacterial small subunit ribosomal RNA". RNAcentral also lists the same sequence under 1 other name. The record is from RNAcentral.